This is a non-coding RNA of Rattus norvegicus (Norway rat), 1198 nucleotides long. NCBI's taxonomy places the organism in Eukaryota, Metazoa, Chordata, Mammalia, Rodentia, Muridae. The record is from RefSeq and is a predicted model, not a curated record.
AUGCGCAUGCGGGGUUGCGACAUCCUCACCGCCAGGCUUCUGGGCUGCAUGUUCAUUAGGUGCUAACUGAGGCUCUUUCCAGAAGGUCUUGGGUGUAGAAACUGUGGCACAGGGACCGCGCAUCUGCCUUCCUUGAGCUCUAGUUACCCCGUCUGCCACUUGACUCGUGGCCAUCUUUACUAUUCAUCGAUUGAAUGAGUAGAGAGCAGGGAUUCUGCCAAAUGGUAGUCACUGCUACCCCUGGCACUCCUGAAGCCUGUGAAGAUAACUGCUUCUUUCUUUUAUCUUGAGAUCAAGUCCCACUGGUCCGGGCUAGCCUGGGAAUCGCUGAGAAGGGGUCAGAUCCUCUAGAACUAGUUACAGAUGAUUGUUAGCCCCUCUUGUAAGUGCUGGGAGCCAAUUCUUUGCCUCUGAGCCAUCUCUCUAGCCUGUUUUGAAAGAGGGCCUCAUAUAGUAACCCAGGCUGGUUUGGAACUCUGGGGAAUCUUCCUGCCUCAAAGCCCCUGGUGGUGCGAUGACUGUACAUUCGAUAUUGUCCACAGAACCCAGAGCUUUUGUAUGCUAGGCAAAGGCCACCAACUGAUGAGCAUCCACAGCCAGAAUCGAGACUCAGAGGAACACACUCCUUCCUCCCUGUGCUACCUUCCCACUCUCAGUGGAGGAUGUUCCUGCCGUAUUCCAGGAAGACUGAAGCCCCGUCUGGUCAUUCUGGUGAUCUAACCCACCCCGCAUGCCUAGUCCAGCCCUGCUCUUCCCAGCUGUUCAGGAAGUUCUAGGCAUCCUCCUGUUCCAGGGUCCUGCUCUGGGAAAACAGCACUUUUCUCCUGCACCGAGAGAGGUCCCUCGAGCACAGAUGCAGCCCAGGCCACCACAACCUCCUUCCAGUUGCUCUUGGCUUCAUGCAAGAACCCCUGUAUCCUGGCAGGGCGCCCUCCCUGGGCUGCUGCCGAGAUGGACCCUGGAGACUCCACUUCCUAGGAAUAGCAGCAGUCUACAAGACCUCGUGUAGCCCAGGCUGCCUGAGCUUUUACUACGUUGCUGAAAUGACCUUGAACUUCGGUUCCUCUUGCUCCAUAGCCCAAGUGCUGGGAUGGAAGGGGACAAUGCUUCCAAAUGGGACCUCAGCACACAGUACAUAGACACACCAGCAACAGAAGCAAGCCAGCAUUUGCUGAAUGAAUAAACAGUUCAAAACACA